Phrynosoma platyrhinos (Desert horned lizard) is the source of this 72-nucleotide non-coding RNA. The record is from the annotation of a GenBank genome assembly. Lineage: Eukaryota; Metazoa; Chordata; Lepidosauria; Squamata; Phrynosomatidae.
GCCAGUGUGAUGUAGUGGUUUGAGUAUUGGACUACAACUCUGGAGAUCAGGGUUUGACUCCCUGCUCAGCCA